AUACAGGCGGCCUCUAGGGGCUACAAGAGGCAAGAAACAGAUUCUUUCUAGAUCCUCUCUCAGAAGGAACCAUCCUUGCCGACACCUUGAUUUCAGCCUCAGAAGACUCAUUGUAGGCAUCUGACUCCCAGAACUGUAAGAGAAUGCAUGUUGUUUUAAGCCACUAAAGUUAAUUGUGUUAAUUGUUGCUAAUUCUUUACAGCAACAAUGAAAAACAAAUACAAGCUGGAAGCAAUAUAAUGGACCAACAAUAGGGGACUAUGUGACAGAAGCUGUUUUUGUAGAGGAACACACUUACGGGAAGUAGUGUAGAGUCUGAGGUUUUGAGACAUAUUGAGCAUCCACCAUCGGCCAGGCAGAUCAAAGAAUGGAUCUGGGAGGGAAGUAGUGAGUGGAUGAAGAGAAACACAAAAAAGCUGAAAAUGCCAGACACAUCCCGAUCUCCCUUGCACCAAGCAGAGCCGUGGCCUGGGCUCAGCCAAUCAGACUCAUCGCUCCUGAGCUGAAUUACAAGCGAAUGAAGUGGAGAAGGAGGGACCCUGCAGGAUCCAUUCUAGCAAGGGCGUUGGCAGCCACAGCAGCCACAACAGUUUCCCCGAGGCGGCAGAUCUGGUGGCUGCAUCUGAAUGGAACAGCAGAGGGCUGGCAUUGUAAACUAUGAGCUGCAGGUCCACAGCAGCAACAGCGGAGUCUGCACAGGGCCGGUUCUGAGCCUGCUUUCCAACAUCAUCCCAGCUGUAUGGCCUCCAAGGCUGGUUUUAGGCUCUCUCAUAUACUCUGUGUGCUAUCCAAUAUCCUACAAUAAAUUCCUUUCUGGUGUAAAUCAGGAAAAAUUAGUUUGUUGCUUGCAAACUAAGCACCCUGGCUGUUAUAUGCACAACUUCUGGAAGGGCACACAGACACAAUCCAUUACUAAAAUGACUAGUCUUAUUGAAAGCUUUCUA
This 944-nucleotide long non-coding RNA is filed under the name Homo sapiens (human). RNAcentral's name for it is "HSALNT0152991". The record is from RNAcentral. Lineage: Eukaryota; Metazoa; Chordata; Mammalia; Primates; Hominidae.